GACGAACGCUGGCGGCGUGCUUAACACAUGCAAGUCGAACGGAAAGGCCCUGCUUUUGUGGGGUGCUCGAGUGGCGAACGGGUGAGUAACACGUGAGUAACCUGCCCUUGACUUUGGGAUAACUUCAGGAAACUGGGGCUAAUACCGGAUAGGAGCUCCUGCUGCAUGGUGGGGGUUGGAAAGUUUCGGCGGUUGGGGAUGGACUCGCGGCUUAUCAGCUUGUUGGUGGGGUAGUGACUUACCAAGGCUUUGACGGGUAGCCGGCCUGAGAGGGUGACCGGCCACAUUGGGACUGAGAUACGGCCCAGACUCCUACGGGAGGCAGCAGUGGGGAAUAUUGCACAAUGGGCGGAAGCCUGAUGCAGAAACGCCGCGUUCGGGAUGACGGCCUUCGGGUUGUAAACCGCUUUCGCCUGUGACGAAGCGUGAGUGACGGUAAUGGGUAAAGAAGCACCGGCUAACUACGUG
Molecule: ribosomal RNA, 468 nt
Filed under: uncultured bacterium
Lineage: Bacteria
Description: partial 16S ribosomal RNA
Rfam family: Bacterial small subunit ribosomal RNA
Source: RNAcentral